GGAGUUGUGCCUGAAAUAAAGGAUCACUUUGAUAGAGUGAAUAAUGGGGGAUAGAACCCCCCCAACUCCU
RNAcentral lists this transfer RNA (70 nucleotides) under Trematomus eulepidotus (blunt scalyhead). Its description in RNAcentral is "tRNA-Ile". It matches the Rfam family "tRNA". Rfam says of the family: Transfer RNA (tRNA) molecules are approximately 80 nucleotides in length. Their secondary structure includes four short double-helical elements and three loops (D, anti-codon, and T loops). The record is from RNAcentral. RNAcentral also lists the same sequence under 2 other names. Lineage: Eukaryota; Metazoa; Chordata; Actinopteri; Perciformes; Nototheniidae.